This is a small nuclear RNA of Jaculus jaculus (lesser Egyptian jerboa), 107 nucleotides long. NCBI's taxonomy places the organism in Eukaryota, Metazoa, Chordata, Mammalia, Rodentia, Dipodidae. The record is from Ensembl.
GUGCUUGCUUUGGCAGCAUAUAUACUAAAAUUGGUACAAUACAGAGAAGAUUAUCAUGGCCCCUGUGCAAGAAUGACAUGCAACUUUGUGAAGUGUUUUAUAUUUUU